Molecule: long non-coding RNA, 1101 nt
Organism: Daphnia pulex (common water flea)
Lineage: Eukaryota; Metazoa; Arthropoda; Branchiopoda; Diplostraca; Daphniidae
Exons: 6
Source: RefSeq, a predicted model, not a curated record
GCAGGAUUGAUGACAGAACUUAGAAUUUUUGUCCAGCUUCAACAAAAUGGUCUUCAUUACGUUGCAAAUGAUGACAAAUGGACUGUUUUUACUUGAGCUUGGGACCAUGUUGGGACAAUCGUGAAUCGUCUCGUGUGCAUGAAGCACUGGCAUCAUCUAGCGGUUAUUUUUAACAAUUCAGACAAUUGUCCAGUGUACCGCUAGAUGGUGUUGGUAUUGUUUUUAAAAUGGCGAAAUGUGUGAAGAGUUUUGUCAUCUUCUGUUUUCGAACUUUCAUGUUUUACUGCCCAAAAUCAACGAAUUAACUACAUAAAAUGUAUCUGCCGUCUAGUCAUCAGAUUUAAUUUGGACCCCAUUUUAAGAACAAAUUGCUCAACACUUCUGUAACUCACACCCCCAGCUUCAUCUGCAUCAUCCUCUCACAUCUUAGACAAAACUUUGAGCUAUUUUGCCCAAAAGUUGUGGCAUUGGAUGUACAAUUACAGGUUCCUUCUGGCCUGAAAGAUGUUUACACCUUUGAACACUUUUGGUGGGGUUGUUGCGUCAUGAAAUUGUAUUGCUGCCAUUGCCUGCAUCUCCCACUUUAUAGCUACAAGAAACGAGCCUACAACAGAUUGAGGAAUGGUUGUGUGCUAUGCCAUUGGAUCCAUUGGAUUUCGCGAGUCAAUCUAUUCAAGCCGCCGAUGUCAAUCUACAACGCAGUUCCUUUAUUGGAAUUGUGUGGUCCUUGAUGCUGGCCUUUGUCCAUUACAGAAGAGGGAUUUCUACCAACUCUCUGCUCCAUCCUUAUCUUCGCUAUCCCCACCCAUCUAGCUUUUCUGCUUAUUAUGCUGCUAAACAAUUUGUCGCACUUCACUGACGAGUUAGACCAGUCGCUUCCGUCCGCCUGUCACUCUCCACGGAAUUAUGCCCAGGUAAUGCAGAGGAGACGUCGAGAAGAUGGAUUUUCUCAUCUUUAACAGUCGUCACCGGUCUCCGUCAGAUGUUGCCCCUGCUCCUGGUGCGAACGAAACUCGGUCGAAUCGCGACCGACACCGAGACUCGUCAUCAACGUGGAUCAUCGUAUUGUUGGUAUUAUGUCGUUUGUGUUAAGUGUUAGUU